This 201-nucleotide ribosomal RNA is filed under the name Escherichia coli. Its description in RNAcentral is "partial 23S ribosomal RNA". It matches the Rfam family "Bacterial large subunit ribosomal RNA", at positions 2742 to 2925 of the family's 2925-position model. RNAcentral also lists the same sequence under 4 other names. Lineage: Bacteria; Pseudomonadati; Pseudomonadota; Gammaproteobacteria; Enterobacterales; Enterobacteriaceae. The record is from RNAcentral.
CCGGUAGCUAAAUGCGGAAGAGAUAAGUGCUGAAAGCAUCUAAGCACGAAACUUGCCCCGAGAUGAGUUCUCCCUGAGACUUAGAGUCUCCUGAAGGAACGUUGAAGACGACGACGUUGAUAGGCCGGGUGUGUAAGCGCAGCGAUGCGUUGAGCUAACCGGUACUAAUGAACCGUGAGGCUUAACCUUACAACGCCGAAG